RNAcentral lists this transfer RNA (76 nucleotides) under Atopobium deltae. RNAcentral describes it as "tRNA-Arg". It matches the Rfam family "tRNA". From Rfam's summary of the family: Transfer RNA (tRNA) molecules are approximately 80 nucleotides in length. Their secondary structure includes four short double-helical elements and three loops (D, anti-codon, and T loops). Lineage: Bacteria; Bacillati; Actinomycetota; Coriobacteriia; Coriobacteriales; Atopobiaceae. The record is from RNAcentral.
GCCCUCAUAGCUCAGUGGAUAGAGCGUUCGCCUCCGGAGCGAAAGGUCGUGGGUUCGAUCCCCACUGAGGGCACCA